Non-coding RNA from Caerostris extrusa, 87 nucleotides. The record is from the annotation of a GenBank genome assembly. NCBI's taxonomy places the organism in Eukaryota, Metazoa, Arthropoda, Arachnida, Araneae, Araneidae.
GGUUCUCGUUAGAUCACCGAAGUCAAGCAUCAUUGGGCGCGGUCAGUACUUGGGUGGGUGACCACCUGGGAACACCGCGUGCUGUUG